This 233-nucleotide unclassified non-coding RNA is filed under the name fungal sp. RNAcentral's name for it is "partial internal transcribed spacer region". The stretch from base 1 to 46 matches the Rfam family "Eukaryotic small subunit ribosomal RNA", at positions 1786 to 1831 of the family's 1831-position model. The record is from RNAcentral. Lineage: Eukaryota; Fungi.
AAGUCGUAACAAGGUUUCCGUAGGUGAACCUGCGGAAGGAUCAUUACAGAGUUCUUGCCCUUACGGGUAGAUCUCCCACCCUUGAAUACAUACCUUUGUUGCUUUGGCGGGCCGCGCUUGCGCUACUGGCUUCGGCUAGUACGUGCCCGCCAGAGGACCACAACUCUUGUUUCUAGUGAUGUCUGAGUACUAUAUAAUAGUUAAAACUUUCAACAACGGAUCUCUUGGUUCUG